Long non-coding RNA from Danio aesculapii, 620 nucleotides. RefSeq lists it as uncharacterized. NCBI's taxonomy places the organism in Eukaryota, Metazoa, Chordata, Actinopteri, Cypriniformes, Danionidae. The transcript has 3 exons. The record is from RefSeq and is a predicted model, not a curated record.
AUUCCAACUUGGAUGAAAGCCCUGACUCCCACACAGACCAAAGAAAACAGAACGUCUAAGACUGGUAAUGGAAAUGGUUCUUCCAGGCAGAACGAACAUUCCCUGGAGUGAUGCUGAAAAAAAGUGGUUUGGCGACAGCAAGGGACCUGCAUAACACUAAUGAAAGUUCCUGGGAAAGACAAAUGUUUAAAGUGCCUACAGAAAGAACCAGUGCUUCAAACCAGGGGCUGGAGAGAUGUCAAAAAUCAUGUUCACAAUGUAAUCCAAUCACAAAGAAGAAACUGAUUGAUAAAUUUCUGUUCUUUAAAGAAGUAAAGUAACCUUUAACUAUCCUCUCUCCCUCUUAAAUUCAUCCUGAUUUUCUGACUCUUUAUUCUGCACAACAAACAAAACUUUACGUAUUUCUUCCUUUAGUUUUGCCAUCCAGAUGUGUACUUUUAGAGCUGACUAUGUUGUUAGAUGUUGAGCUUGUGAGCCUGUUUUUGACAGGUAUUCUGUGUCGAUUUUUUUAUUAAAUAAAAUAUUUCUGUUAUAAAUAAAUUACCAUCUUCUCUGAUUUCUAAUUUUGGAGCUUGUAAUGUAGUGCUUGUCAAAUAACCGGUUUUGUUUCUCUAUACUUU